CGUAUGGCGGCCAGGCCUGGGACGCCUCGAGGCCGGCUGGCGCCGUGGGGUCACUCUUCCUGAUGCCACAAGUCACAAAGGCUGGAAGGGAAGGUUGGGGGCUGACAGGGGUCAACCCUAGGUCUCGCAGGUGGCGGUGGGCAAACCCUCCCGUCCGGGGGAACCGCUGCUGAGACCAGGCGAGGAGGAGGAAAAUGUCCAGGGCCUGGAGGUAGAGGGCCAGGACCCUGAGGAGGGAGAGGGCUCACUGCCCCGAUGCAGAGGAGCAGUCCCAGACGGAAAAGGAGUUGAGGCCCCAGGGAUGCUGCGCCCUGCCGAAGUAGAAGGGACUGGCCACCAGAAUCUGAAACCUCAAAUCACUCACGUGAGGGGGUUCAAAGCUGAAAGCAUCACAGAUCAGCAGUGGGACUUGAGACGCCUCAGAAGUGCGUCCAGAUGUUUGAGGAGCUGGCCAACGUGAACGGCAGCUGGCGGGCCUGGCCACGGGGACCUGAGGACCCCGCUAUGAUACAUGCUUUCCCCUACACCAUGGUUUCUGCUCAGUUUCCUCUCAAUAGCUUCCGUCUGCAGGAAGAGCGGCGAUAACACAGAUUCACCAAAGACGUGGCACUUGGUGAACGCAGGCUGCUAAGACGUUACCACAGGAAAAAAAUAACACGUAAUGCCACAGAAGGAGCCAUAUGCCCACUGGUGACCUGAAGUAGAAAUUUCAACUUCGGAGAGCUCCAUCUCACUUAGGCAAUUUCACACUGUCUUUUCCUCCAGGAUUGGCAAGUAAGACACACUUUACGCACCGAAGACGCGUUACCGGAUUGCAGCCGUUUUUGUGCUCGGACACCAGGGCGGUUUCACCUCCAGGUUAUGGAUUCCAAACUUAGCUCCACCCGAGCCGAAAAUGGCCGGUGCGCCGCCUCCCCUCCCCGAGGCUGCCGAAGCCGCCGCCGGCCCCUGCCCCCUCUUGACCGAUCCCCCAAGGACUUGCGUCGGAUCGGAUCCAACACCUUUCCCCGGCGCGGUAGUGCCGUGCUCUUUGGGGACGCAUUGUAGGGUACCCCGCUGAAAGACGCGAUCCCCUCUCCAGCCCCGUUCUUGUGCCGCUUUACCUUUCCGCUCGGCACCGCCUCGCGGGCCUCUUAGCCCCUCUCUUCUAUCCCCAGGUCCGUGCGCAAACAGCCCCAGACCUCUCCAGCCAGGCUGCACCCGGCCCCGCCGCCAGAUCAGCUGCGCCAAAAGCCUCUUUGUUCUCGGGUGUCCUCGGAGCCUCCAGCAGCCGUGUCCCCGCUAAAGCUCUGGCAGCACUGUGUGUCGAUGCUCCUUGAAGCUUCAGCCUCUUCUCGAUGGGAGUUUAACCUUUGCUCUGAAGCGAGGUUUUGCUAAGAGACACGGGUCUGUACAAACGAGCUCUGGCCACAUUCAGAAUUUUCUGUCUGCUCUGCGCCACGACGAACAUUCCAGGCGACACGUCCACUCCCGCUGGUGUUUCUCAUCCGCCAGCGCCGUUGGGCCAGAACCUCCGGAGGCUGUCGGCCCCAGAGGAGGACACGAGAGGGUGCAGGCCGAGGGCAGAAGGCAGGCGGCGCUCCCGCGGUCUCCCAUGGCUGAGAAGGACCAGCCUCGUGCUCGGCUCAGGAGCCAGCUGACAGCCCCUUUCUGAUUUGCAGCUUUUGUUCAGAACUGGGCGGGGGGCCCCCCAUCAUCGUAGCACUCGAGUUAGGCAAUCAUUCACAGACUCUUCUCCUGGGGCCCCAUGCACAACAGCACCAUGGCGCGUGGCUGCCACUCAAACCAAGGUAGCGACAGAACCUUCUGGGAGAAGCCUUCAGAAGAUGAAAUGUUGAGGCCGGCUGUCAGCGCGUGAGGCCACGACAGAGCUGUGAUGAAGUUCUUUUCCGUGGUGCUCGGAGCCUGCCACCAAGGCCCCGGCAAACCCAUGUUCGAAGGCCGUUUCUUCAAAGUAAACAGCGCUGCCUUUGAACCGGGAAGGGAAGCCGGCUGGAAGGCAGGUCCCUGUGUGCGUGUUUGAAUGGGGUCCAUGAGGAAAGAUGUCACGCGGGUCUUUGGCUUAUGGGUCGCAUAAGCCCUUGGGGUGCAGAGAGGGGCCGCCGGAGUCCUGUGACAUCUUUGUCCAUCUGGGAGCACCCUAGGUUCCAACGUGGGGCAGGGUCGGGAGGAGGGGCGGCAGGAGCCCCCGGGGCCACGUCAUGAAGUCAGGGAAGGGUGUGUGAGGCACAGCCCUGGGUGGGAGGUGAUGAUGCGGGUCCUUCCGGAGGGCCCCCCCCAAUCCUGUUGUGCUCAAUUCAGAGGGUUGGGUGGAGGCUUUCCUGAAAGGCUCGGAGGAGUGCUGCACCCACGGGCUGUGCGGUCAGGAGGCGAGACACGGGGAGCCACACAAGGGAAAGGCCACGCCGUCUGCCUGUCCCCCCUCCCCCCCCACACAGAGGCCCAACUCCACCGGCGGGUCCCCCACGUGGUGGCCAGAGGCCACUGACCAUGUUGUUGUUCUGCUCCAAGCCUCCGGUGGCUACUUGGAAUACAACCCCGCUCUGAGCUUGGCCUUGACCACCUGCGUUUCCCCCACAUGCCCCACAUGCCGUUUGGCCCCAGCUGCCUGAAGACCCGGACCUGGGCCUGCUCCUCCUCUCCUUGGGUUCUGCCUCCCUCUCACCCUGGCUUCCCGCCUGCAGGGAGCACCCCCUGCCAUCCAGCUGUCACUGGCAUCACAGCCCCUGUCGUCUCUGUCCCUUUGCCAGUAAUGUGUAUGCUCCCACCUCAUAGAGUCUGUGAGCUUGCAGGAUGAGGGCUGUAGCUGCCCUGAGGAUUAUUACGUUCUCCAGCUUGGUCUCCUCCCGUGGUAUGCAGUAGGUGCCUAAUCAACGUGUGAAACUGAAGGGCGCCCGGGGGGCCCAGUCGGUUAAGUGUCCAACUUCGGCUCAGGUCAU
Molecule: long non-coding RNA, 2939 nt
Organism: Prionailurus viverrinus (fishing cat)
Lineage: Eukaryota; Metazoa; Chordata; Mammalia; Carnivora; Felidae
Exons: 7
Source: RefSeq, a predicted model, not a curated record